GACGAACGCUGGCGGCGUGCCUAAUACAUGCAAGUAGAACGCUGAAGGAGGAGCUUGCUCUUCUGGAUGAGUUGCGAACGGGUGAGUAACGCGUAGGUAACCUGCCUGGUAGCGGGGGAUAACUAUUGGAAACGAUAGCUAAUACCGCAUAAGAGUAGAUGUUGCAUGACAUUUACUUAAAAGGUGCAAUUGCAUCACUACCAGAUGGACCUGCGUUGUAUUAGCUAGUUGGUGGGGUAACGGCUUACCAAGGCGACGAUACAUAGCCGACCUGAGAGGGUGAUCGGCCACACUGGGACUGAGACACGGCCCAGACUCCUACGGGAGGCAGCAGUAGGGAAUCUUCGGCAAUGGACGGAAGUCUGACCGAGCAACGCCGCGUGAGUGAAGAAGGGUUUCGGAUCGUAAAGCUCUGUUGUAAGAGAAGAACGAGUGUGAGAGUGGAAAGUUCACACUGUGACGGUAUCCUACCAGAAAGGGACGGCUAACUACGUG
This 495-nucleotide ribosomal RNA is filed under the name uncultured bacterium. RNAcentral describes it as "partial 16S ribosomal RNA". It matches the Rfam family "Bacterial small subunit ribosomal RNA", at positions 28 to 507 of the family's 1533-position model. The record is from RNAcentral.